GACCCAGACUGGGGUCCCAAGGCAUCAUAGCCCACAGCUUCUUAGCAAGUGCAUGUUCAGUUGGAUCCCCCAGCUCAGCCUGGGUCAUCCCCACGUUCUGCCUCUUGGGCCAUACAUAGCUCAGCUCUGUACUGAGCCAUCAUCCCAUGGUGAGCAAGACCCCAUUCUUGGUCUUCAGUCUCUUUCCCUGCAGCAUGCAAUCAAGGUGGUGGCUGGAAGGGGCCAAGGAGCCACAUGUCACAGUGCCCUGCUGCCUGAACAAGGACCAGAGGCCUGUGGAACACAUGGCUCUCAGAUUUCUCCCAUUUGAUGACUCAUCAGCUGCCCCCACAUGGCUUUCUAGCUCACAGCAGAUCUAGCCUUCUCUGAGCAGUGAAGAUGGGAUGUUUUAUGGUCAUUUUCCCUGGUGUGGAGAGCCCAAGUGGAGUUCUUCAGCACACCCUACACCAUCCCCUCACUAACACCCCCACCUGUCCAGUCUUACCUGCCUUCAUAUCAAAAGCACUCAGUUAACCCAGAGGGCUUCAGCCCUGCCCUGCCUGACUUUCUAGGAAACCCCUCUCUCCACCCACCCUAAUCAGACACUGUCUGAAGGUUCCCCCUCAUCAUUUUAAAAGGAAGAGAAAUUUUUCUGACACAGAGGUUCUGGUGAAGUGGCCAGCUCCCACAUCACAGGGUGAUGGUGGUUUGGACUGGACCAGGAUCAGACAGUGCUGUCCUGGGGCUGGCCAUCUGAUAAGGGGCUCCAGAAAGGGCAGUGAUGGACCCCUGGGAGGCUUUCUGCUCUCCUGAUCACAGGUUUUUGGUGAGAGGACCUAUUGGCCACUAGGGUGUCUGCGGGGGUGUGUGUGUGUGUGUGUGUGUGUGUGUGUGUGUGUGUGAUGUGUGUUUACUUGGAAUGACUUCUUUCAGCAUGAAGCCCACUGUUUUGCUGAACGUAUCUCACUGUUUCCUGAAACUCAGUACAUUCAGCUGGCUUAAGGGUCCUGGGGCCUCGCUGUGUCAUAUUUGCACAAGCCUAGUGUCUGUGCAGACUGUACACUGGAGUUCAGUUGUAAGACCCUUUUGAUCCCUUAUUCUGUUCCUGUAAUAGAAAAGCCAUUUCACUCAAUGGAAUAGAAACCCAGAUCUAAUGGAGAGAUGUUCUAAUCUGCCAUACACUGGGGCAGUGGCCAGUGAUUUGGACUUUGUGGCACAGAUGGAAAUUUCCAGGUUCUCUAGGUGGUAGGCAGAGGCCUCACUUUUUAAGAAACUCCCCCACUCCACCCCUGCCAAUGAGGACAUUGCUUAGAGGUAUUUCUAUCAGUGUUGAGUAGAAGAGAUCAUUUCUUGGUGUUGAAUUUCAGGUAAGGAUGCCAGCUUCUGCAUAUCAGGGUGGUGAUGUUUGGGCUGCGACAGGUCUAGACAGCAGUCUGAAAGGGGGCUCAAGGAAGUAGCUGUGAAAGGCCCCUGGGAUGUUUUCUGCUCCCCUUUCUGCAAAUCCCCUGGAGGGAGAUCCUGUUAGUCACUACGGGAUGUGUGUGUGUGUGUGUGUGUGUGUGUGUGUGUGUGUGUGUGUGUGUUCAUCACUUGUUGCUUGGGGUGGGAAGAGACAACAACAACCUACAGAAUCCAUAGUUCUCAGUUCAUCUCCCAUCCUAGUCCAAUCAUGGCCUAACAUCCUUAGCUACCGAUCGCAGAGGAGACUGCGCAUUUGUGUUCAUGUGGCCUUGGAUGUUGGCAGAUUCAGAUUGGUGCCCCAGGCAUCUGUGCUGUAACUGCAGUUUCAGCGGGCUCAGGACCAGGCUAAAGGGCCUCCAAGCUUCCUCCAGUUUCCUGGUGCAUGCAUGUGCAAUAUGCUCCCCUGGCCUGGGUCUUUCCUGCCGCUUCUUGCCAGUUGGGUCAGAACUAGCUUAUUAACCAGUUUUUCUUCUGAGCUUUAAUCGAACUGGCUCCAACCAGUUGGAGGCUUGAAAAGGGCUACGUGCUAGUUAUAGAUUUUUAAAGAUAUAUUAUUAUUUUAGAGUAGUUUUGAGUGUACAGCAAAAUGGAGUGCAGAGUCCAGAGAUCUCAUAUGCCCUCAAUUCCUGUAUACUCUCGGGUCACUCCACCAACAACCUCCUACACCAGAGCCACUUUGAAACAUUAGAAAAUAUAUUUGAGCAUUCAGAAAUGUAUAAACUAGGCAGCCCCAGACUGCAAGCAGCUCAGAGGUCCCACAGAGAGGCUUAGGGAGGGUGGGGGAAGAAUUUUAUAUGGUGAAUGUGGAAGAAAAAGAAAAUACUUGAUUGGGUGAAGUGGAGCAGUGGCCUCAUUUGGAACAUUACAGUGGAAGGUCUCUAGUUAGAUGUUAGUUGGUGGUUUCUGAUUGGUUCUUACAUUUCCUUUUAUUAUUUACACUGAGUCAAGUUUUGGUUUAUUUAAGGAGGAAUUGAGUGCACGGCAGCCACCUCAGCCUCAUGGCCACCUGUUUAUUUGAUUAUUUUUAACAGAGAAGAUCCUUUUAAAAAUAUCUGUUACCGUGGCUGGAGUGCAGUGACGUGAUCACGGCUCACUGCAGCCACAACCUUCCAGCUCAGGUGAUCCUCCCACCUCAGUGCUCCCCACCCUGAGUAGCUGGGACUACAGGCAUGUGCCACCACACCACCAUGCUAGGCUAAUGGUUUGUAUUUGUUUGAGAGAUGCAGUUUCCCUAAGUUGCUUAGGCUUCUUUUGAACUCUUAGACUCAAAUAAUCUGCCUGCAUUGGUCUCCCCAAGUGCUGGAAUUACAGGCCAUCUAAAUCUUUUAUCUCAGGUUUGCCUUGUGACAAAAGGUGGGGUACUUUUUCUGACAUGAUGAGGCAGAGAAAGGUGAGGUGGGUGCAUCCUGUGCAUAUGAUUUUCUCAGGUGAUGGGAAUAUGGUGGGCUCUUGCCUAAUGGGAUAUAUUUUCUCUUUGAAUGAUUUGGCAAGAUAUCAGAUGAGAGAAGUUGAAUAAAUGUUAGAAGAACAUAGAAAAAAUAGGUUAUACACAUUGGGUUUCUGAAGAAAUGAUGUCAUUGGAGAAACAAAACUUUUAUUGAUUUCUGGAAACAUUUAGGGCCAAUUUUUUGUGUAAGUAAUUUGAAUUUAUGAUGAUAUCUCUGACCACUUUUUGAUAUUUUUUCUGGUUCAGGUGAGUGGUGUCAUUGAGCAAACACAAAGUCGGGCUCAUCCAAGGAUGAGAUUUUGCCAGAGAAAGGAUGAGCAGCAAGUCAGGGAGCUUAAGUGGAGACGAGAUUUCACUAUGUAGGCGAAGCUGGUCUCGAACUCCUGACCUCAGAUGAUCCACCCGCCUCAGCCUCCCAAAGUGCUGGGAUUACAGGCGUGAGCCACCGCGCCUGGCCUGUUUAUUCUCUUAAGAGAGAAAAUGAGGGGAUUAAUGGACUGUAGUUCUGGACAAGGUGGAAAACUCUUAAAGUGGAAGUACUGGGGCAAGUGCUCUGACAGGGUAGGAUGGUGCAGUCAGUCCCUUCACCCAGAAAUCAGUAGAAUGUUAGCAGUUCAGACUCAAACCUUGUGAAAAACAGGUGGUGGAAAGGAAAUCCCUCACAGCAACUGGCACCAUAAUCAAGACAAUGUUUACAGGAUAAAUGGAGUUACCUGCUUUCAGCCCCAGGUCGUAGCUAUUGUCUGCCCUGCUGAUAUGUGAUAAUAAUUUGUGAUCCUGUUGUCUUAAAAUGGGGUCACUCAUCUCCAGUAGAAUUAAGUCCACAGUGAAGUUGUCCCCCCAUCCCCAAAGAGAUAAACAUAUAUGAAUGAACUCACGUGAUAACAACUACUGCUGCCUGGGAUCAUGAGAGACCUGAACUGAACUGAUAGGAAGUGAAAGGUGGCUGAGAUAAUGAGAAUAGACCCAUCUGCAGAGGAUCAUAAAACCAGCAAAGACAAGAUCUUGUCUAAGAUGCCUUCACAAGCUUUGUCCAUGAGAACUCUUAAGGAUUUCACCAGACCUGUUGGCUGCUGCUGUGAUCUCUGCCCAAGAGGAGCCUCUGACCAACAUCCAAAGGGCUUCUGGACCCACUGGACUCCUCUGGAGGUACCUUGGUCUCCCGAUCCAUGGCUGUGGUUUUUUACUCCCUUUAUCACUGCCUGUGUGUAGAAUGAUAAUUGCACAAUUGAUAGUGUGAAGACCUCUUGAUAAAUGGUAAAUCUGA
This 4154-nucleotide long non-coding RNA is filed under the name Homo sapiens (human). RNAcentral describes it as "HSALNT0357782". Lineage: Eukaryota; Metazoa; Chordata; Mammalia; Primates; Hominidae. The record is from RNAcentral.